AUUGAACGCUGGCGGCAUGCCUUACACAUGCAAGUCGAACGGUAACAGGUCUUCGGAUGCUGACGAGUGGCGAACGGGUGAGUAAUACAUCGGAACGUGCCUAGUAGUGGGGGAUAACUACUCGAAAGAGUGGCUAAUACAGCAUGAGAUCUACGGAUGAAAGCAGGGGAUCGCAAGGCCUUGUGCUACUAGAGCGGCCGAUGGCAGAUUAGGUAGUUGGUGGGAUAUAAGCUUACCAAGCCGACGAUCUGUAGCUGGUCUGAGAGGACGAUCAGCCACACUGGGACUGAGACACGGCCCAGACUCCUACGGGAGGCAGCAGUGGGGAAUUUUGGACAAUGGGCGCAAGCCUGAUCCAGCAAUGCCGCGUGCAGGAUGAAGGCCUUCGGGUUGUAAACUGCUUUUGUACGGAACGAAAAGUCCCGGGUUAAUACCCUGGGGUCAUGACGGUACCGUAAGAAUAAGCACCGGCUAUCUACGUGCCAGCCGCCGCAGUAA
This 498-nucleotide ribosomal RNA is filed under the name uncultured bacterium. RNAcentral's name for it is "partial 16S ribosomal RNA". It matches the Rfam family "Bacterial small subunit ribosomal RNA", at positions 30 to 523 of the family's 1533-position model. The record is from RNAcentral.